This is a non-coding RNA of Nicotiana sylvestris (wood tobacco), 96 nucleotides long. The record is from Rfam. NCBI's taxonomy places the organism in Eukaryota, Viridiplantae, Streptophyta, Magnoliopsida, Solanales, Solanaceae.
UGAACAGAUUAUUGUAUUCGACUGUAUUCACGGCGUGAAACAGGGGAUAACACUGUUUUUAAACGGAAAGUGAAUCAAUUAACAUAAUAGACUCCU